GACGAACGCUGGCGGCGUGCUUAACACAUGCAAGUCGAACGGAAAGGCCCUGCUUUUGUGGGGUGCUCGAGUGGCGAACGGGUGAGUAACACGUGAGUAACCUGCCCUUGACUUUGGGAUAACUUCAGGAAACUGGGGCUAAUACCGGAUAGGAGCUCCUGCUGCAUGGUGGGGGUUGGAAAGUUUCGGCGGUUGGGGAUGGACUCGCGGCUUAUCAGCUUGUUGGUGGGGUAGUGGCUUACCAAGGCUUUGACGGGUAGCCGGCCUGGGAGGGUGACCGGCCACAUUGGGACUGGGAUACGGCGCAGACUCGUAGGGGAGGCAGCAGUGGGGAAUAUUGCACAAUGGGCGGAAGCCUGAUGCAGCAACGCCGCGUGCGGGAUGACGGCCUUCGGGUUGUAAACCGCUUUCGCCUGUGACGAAGCGUGAGUGACGGUAAUGGGUAAAGAAGCACCGGCUAACUACGUG
This 468-nucleotide ribosomal RNA is filed under the name uncultured bacterium. RNAcentral describes it as "partial 16S ribosomal RNA". It matches the Rfam family "Bacterial small subunit ribosomal RNA", at positions 28 to 507 of the family's 1533-position model. The record is from RNAcentral.